UGAUGACACAUCUCCGGAAUCUCUGAAUUUUUUUUUGAUGAAACUCUGAACCCUUUUUCUGAUGACUGCUUUUUACAAC
Small nucleolar RNA from Cheilinus undulatus (humphead wrasse), 79 nucleotides. RefSeq annotates it as small nucleolar RNA MBII-202. Lineage: Eukaryota; Metazoa; Chordata; Actinopteri; Labriformes; Labridae. The record is from RefSeq and is a predicted model, not a curated record. The transcript has a single exon.